Meleagris gallopavo (turkey) is the source of this 262-nucleotide non-coding RNA. NCBI's taxonomy places the organism in Eukaryota, Metazoa, Chordata, Aves, Galliformes, Phasianidae. The record is from RefSeq and is a predicted model, not a curated record.
ACUCUCUUGACUUGCUGAAAACAAAGACAGGCGGUGUCAAGGAUACACCUGGCACACUCGAUUUGUUGCUCUCUGUUCCAUGCCCAGAGACAGGACCAAGAAUUCACCAAGGGCACAGGAAGCCAUAACCAAGCCAUUCCCCUGAGCACAUGAGUAGAAAGCAGCAGUGGGUAAAAGGCAACCUGCCAUUCAUGAAGAAGCAUUCAGAACACAACGGUGCUUUAAAAACACAAGCACAGAAGAAAGGGAACCAUCCACACAC